Small nuclear RNA from Hyaena hyaena (striped hyena), 105 nucleotides. Lineage: Eukaryota; Metazoa; Chordata; Mammalia; Carnivora; Hyaenidae. The record is from RefSeq and is a predicted model, not a curated record.
GCUCACUUCAGCUGUACAUACACUAAAGUUAGAAAGAUACAGAGAAGAUUAGCGUAGCCCUGGCACCAAGAUGUCAUACAAAUUUUUGAAGCGUUCCGUAAAAUA